GUGCUUUUCGGUCAAGUGAGACUCCAUGGAAGCGAAUUUUAUCAUUUUUAGAAAAUCUAAUAAAGUUAGUAAGUAAACUCAUAAAUCAUUCACUUUAAAUUUUAAAACUUCAGGCGACAAACACAGAAAUUCUUAUAAUUACACACACAUUUCAAAAAACUUGGCUAUAUAUGCUUCAUUUUUAUUAAUUCUAUCCUCAAUGGAGCUAUUAGAUAUCAUAUUUCGAAGCCGCUCUUGUCAAUUUUAGACUCAAAUCGUUUAACACACAUGCACAUGCAUGUGCACGCACUAAGAA
Non-coding RNA from Schizosaccharomyces pombe (fission yeast), 295 nucleotides. The record is from the annotation of a GenBank genome assembly. Lineage: Eukaryota; Fungi; Ascomycota; Schizosaccharomycetes; Schizosaccharomycetales; Schizosaccharomycetaceae.